UUUUUUUUAAAAAUAUGUUUGCUGUUGUCUUCAUUCGAUAAACUGCUAUCUCUGAGUGGCAGGUUUUUUUUUUAGAGCUGUAAAAUGUGGAGAUAAUACAAUUUACCUCAGAAGUUAGGAGAGUUCAGCGAGAUGAUACAGAUGAAACCUCGUACCUCUUGACAGCUGACUCACAAUUAUGCUUUAUACUGCCAUUGGUAGAUAGGGAAGCUAAGACCCAAAGAGAGAGAGAGAGACAGGGGACCCAUAUGAAAGGUUUUGUCUGAGCUUUGUGCAGAAGGAGUGGGUCUGUUUAACAACUUGCAAUACACCAGCAGCCCUGAUAUAAAACUUGCCUUCUUAAUAGGAUAUGCUCUCUUGGAUAGGUAGAAAUGGAUUCUCACAGAACAUUUUUCAUAGCCUGAAAACCCUGAAAGUCAUUGCAAUGGGUCUUGAAUAUUUUUUAGUUAUUGGCACUUAAAAUUGGGAGAUUUCACAUGUGCAAAUCUGGAUUUCCAGCUUCUCUUGAAAAAGUAGAUGAGCUGACCACAUUGGAUGGACCCACCCACAUUCCUGCCAAUCAACAAUUAGCUGGAACUGAGUAGAGUCUCCUUCUUUUGGACAAGAUGCUCUGUUUCAAAUGGCCUCAAUCCCCACCACUCCCUUUUGUCUCUUAAACAGAAUGCUGUUUACAUUUACUGUUCCUCUCAGAUUGUUUUCCUUAGAUCUGAUAUUUUUCUUUAUUUCCAGAGAUGGGAAAACAGGAGUCUAGAGUUUGUUAUACCUACUAGCUUCAAACCUUUACUUCCUUUGCCUCGCCUCUUGGCAUUUUGAUUCACUGCCCUGAGUGAACCAACAGUCCUAUUCCCUGGAUGGCGACAGGCAGUCAGAAAUCUGGGCUUAAGGGAGCACAUCAAACCUUGCUGCAAGGAUGAAGGGUCAUGGAAGAUUUUUACUGGGGGCGGGGAGGAGAACUUUAAGCUGAGACUCAAGAAGAAAAAGGGAGAUUUAGGGCAUUCCAGGUAGAAGGCAUUGCCUGUGCCAAGCACAGAGUGAAUGGGAGCAAAACUUUGUGGAAACUGCAGUCUACACCUGGGGGCGUGGCCAGGGUAUGGGAAAGGGAUGAAAGCUGAGUUUGGAAGGUCAUUUGGAAGUUAAAUCAUAGACUGUCUAGAAUCCCAUGUUGAAAAAUUGAACCCUUGUUCUUUUGGGAAAGGGAAUGAACUCUUGCAGUCCAUGGAAUCUCAGAAUGUUAGAUCUCUAGUCCCAUUUCUUGCAUCCCUAUUAGAAUCAUGGAAUAUUAGAAAUAGAUCUUGGAGGUCUAUUAGAAUUGUGGAAUGUUAGAAUGGAAGGGACCAUACAUAUUAAAUCUAAAAGUUAAAUGCAGUUAUUCUAAACUGUAUGGGUGAGCAAAUGCCCAGAAUCUGAAAACAAUACCUCAUCUGGAAUUAUUCUACAUAUUUAUGCAUAUAAUUUUAGGUGAUUUCCAGAUAUCCUUGAACCUACUCACAGGACCCAGGUUUAGUUUAAAAUACAUUUAUUUAUAUGUAUUUCAUUCUCCCAAAUUUUGCAGGUUAAGAAGUCAGCGCACCAAGAGGAAAUGGAUUGGUCCAAACUAAAAAACCUAGUAAGUGGUUCCACAAGGACAGAAUUCUUCGGACUUGUAGUAGUCCGAUGUUCUUAUCAUAUUAGGUCUUUUCAUUAGCAACUAGGUUGGGAGCUCACUUGAGAAGGUGUCAUAAAUCAUGCAUCUCCUAUCACUUAGCUUCCAAUAUAAGGCCUGAUUCCCAGUUGGACUCUCAGUAAAUAUUGAAUCAAGAAAAAGUGGUAAGUAGAGGUUUCAUCUCUGAAGGGGAGCUCUAAUGUGAUUCCCAUACUCUUUCAGAGAGACUUCGGUGUCUUUUGAUGGCAUACUGUUGGGGGUUGUGGUAUAGAAGCCUGGAUAUUUUUUUUAAGCCUUUUUAUUUGGAAAUAGUUAUGGCUUCAUAGAAAGUUACAAAAAUUAUACAGAGAGGUCUCAUGCAUACUUCACCCAGUUUUCUGCAGUGGUGACAUCUUAUACAACCACAGUAUAAUGUCAACACUGGGAAGUUGACAAUGAUACAAUCCACAGAGUUUGUUCACAUUAUACCAGUUUUAUAAGCACUUAUUUAUGUAUGUGUAUAGGCCUAUGCAAUUUUAUCACAUGUGUAGAUUCAUACAACUGUACCACAAUCAAUAUCUAGAAAUGUUUGAUGACCACUAUGAUCCUGUAACUGAACUAAAGUGAUUUUGAUCCUUAGUGAAUCACAGAUAGAAACUACACCACAUAGAAUGCUUUCACGGGUAAACUGCAUUUGCAGCAAGUGAGAUCAUGGGUAAUAACUUCCAAAGCUGUGACUCUUUGAGCAAGGGUGAAUUAAUUCCUUUUAUUUAGGGUUAGGAUGAAUAUUUAGAUAAGAGGUCCUUGUCAUCAUAUGUAGAGGUGGGCAUAAAGUUGUGCAUGCACCUUAAGGAAACAUGCCAAUAAUGUGCAUCGUAUAUUAUGUAAAUGAGGUUCAUGCUCCUCCUUGAGUGGAGAUUUUAGUAUUAUAAUGAGGGAAAGGUAACAGCUGGUCACUCCAUGGCCCAUCUGCACACAUGUGAGUCAGGGGUUGAAUUGAAACUGAUCUGGGGGGUCUAGGCCAGCUACUGCUCUUUAUCCAGGCAGUUUCCAUCACAGGAUGCUAUGACCAUUGGGUCUUUUGCCUGAAUUAAAGAGAUAAGCUGGAAAGAAGAGCUUAAGGAAAAAUGUGGGACAAAAGUUGGUGAGUACAAGCAGGUAGGCAGUAAAGGUCAGGUCUUGGGGUCUAGUUCUCACAGUCUCUCCUGCUACCGUUUUAUAAUUACACCUACCCCUCUCCCCUACCCCCCAUCUCUAGCCACAGGCAACCACUAAUCUGUUCUCCAUCUCUAUAAUGUUGUCAUUUCAAAAAUGUUAUAUAAAUGGAAUUGUACAGUGUGUAACCAUUUGGGACUGGCUUUCUUCACACAGAGUAAUGCCCUGGAGAUUCAUCUAGGUUGUUUCAUAUUCUAAUAAAACGUUCAUUUUUAUUGCUGAGUAAUAAUCCAUGAUGUGGCUAUACCAUGGUUUGCUUAUCCAGUCACUGGUUGAAGGACAUUUGAGUUAUUUCCAAUUUGGGGCUAUUCCAAAAUGAAGCUGCUAUGAAUUCUUUUAUCAUAUGGCCUUGGAUAAGUCAGACUCUGAGCCUGGGGGUAGUAAGUAUGACACAGAAUGGUUCUGAAGAGUCAAAGAGGAAAUAUAUGUAAAGGAACUGGUACCAGGUCUGGUAUUAUUUAGAUGUUCUUUAAUUUCUUCCAUCAAUGUUUUAUCAUUUUCAGUAUACAGAAUCUGCACAUAUUAUAUUUAUACCUAAGUAUUUCAUGUUUUUAGUGCUACUAUAAAUGGUAUUAUUUAAAAUUUUUCAGUUUCUAGUUGUUCAAUAGUAUAUAAAAAUAAAAUUGAUUUUUGUCUAA
Molecule: long non-coding RNA, 3474 nt
Filed under: Canis lupus familiaris (dog)
Lineage: Eukaryota; Metazoa; Chordata; Mammalia; Carnivora; Canidae
Description: lncRNA (ENSCAFG00000052740.1)
Source: RNAcentral